Molecule: ribosomal RNA, 735 nt
Filed under: uncultured Burkholderiales bacterium
Lineage: Bacteria; Pseudomonadati; Pseudomonadota; Betaproteobacteria; Burkholderiales
Description: bacterial SSU rRNA
Rfam family: Bacterial small subunit ribosomal RNA
Source: RNAcentral
GCUUUACACAUGCAAGUCGAACGGCAGCGAAGAGAAGCUUGCUUCUCUGUCGGCGAGUGGCGAACGGGUGAGUAUAGCAUCGGAACGUGCCAAGUAGUGGGGGAUAACCAAGCGAAAGUUUGGCUAAUACCGCAUAAGCUCUAAGGAGGAAAGUAGGGGACCGUAAGGCCUUACGCUAUUUGAUCGGCCGAUGUCGGAUUAGCUAGUUGGUGAGGUAAUGGCUCACCAAGGCGAUGAUCCGUAGCGGGUCUGAGAGGACGAUCCGCCACACUGGGACUGAGACACGGCCCAGACUCCUACGGGAGGCAGCAGUGGGGAAUUUUGGACAAUGGGGGAACCCUGAUCCAGCCAUGCCGCGUGUAUGAAGAAGGCCUUAGGGUUGUAAAGUACUUUUGUUAGGGAAGAAAAGCUAGUUUUUAAUAAAGACUAGUGAUGACGGUACCUAAAGAAUAAGCACCGGCUAACUACGUGCCAGCAGCCGCGGUAAUACGUAGGGUGCGAGCGUUAAUCGGAAUUAUUGGGCGUAAAGCGAGUGCAGACGGUUGUUUAAGCCAGAUGUGAAAUCCCCGAGCUUAACUUGGGACGUGCAUUUGGAACUGGAUAACUAGAGUGUGUCAGAGGGAGGUAGAAUUCCACAUGUAGCGGUGGAAUGCGUAGAGAUGUGGAGGAAUACCGAUGGCGAAGGCAGCCUCCUGGGAUAACACUGACGUUGAGGCUCGAAAGCGUGGGGAGCAA